This 367-nucleotide ribosomal RNA is filed under the name Burkholderia sp. 34R. RNAcentral describes it as "bacterial SSU rRNA". It matches the Rfam family "Bacterial small subunit ribosomal RNA", at positions 972 to 1343 of the family's 1533-position model. Lineage: Bacteria; Pseudomonadati; Pseudomonadota; Betaproteobacteria; Burkholderiales; Burkholderiaceae. The record is from RNAcentral.
UACCUACCCUUGACAUGGUCGGAAUCCUGCUGAGAGGCGGGAGUGCUCGAAAGAGAACCGGCGCACAGGUGCUGCAUGGCUGUCGUCAGCUCGUGUCGUGAGAUGUUGGGUUAAGUCCCGCAACGAGCGCAACCCUUGUCCUUAGUUGCUACGCAAGAGCACUCUAAGGAGACUGCCGGUGACAAACCGGAGGAAGGUGGGGAUGACGUCAAGUCCUCAUGGCCCUUAUGGGUAGGGCUUCACACGUCAUACAAUGGUCGGAACAGAGGGUUGCCAACCCGCGAGGGGGAGCUAAUCCCAGAAAACCGAUCGUAGUCCGGAUUGCACUCUGCAACUCGAGUGCAUGAAGCUGGAAUCGCUAGUAAUC